GAUGAACGCUGGCGGCGUGCCUAAUACAUGCAAGUCGAACGGAAGGACGAUAAGCUUGCUUCUCUGAUGUUAGCGGCUGACGGGUGAGUCACGCGUGGAUCACCUACUUCUCAUACUGGGAUAAUUACGGGAAACCGGAUCUAAUACCAGAUAAUAUUUUGUACCGCAUGGUGCAAAAGUGCAUGACGGCCUUGCUGUCACUAAUAGAGGGCUCCGGGUUGCAUUAGCUGGUUGUUAAGGUAACGGCCUACCAAGGCGACGAUGCGUAGCUGACCGGAGAGGAUGAUCGGCCACACUGGAACUGAGACACGGUCCAGACUCCUACGGGAGGCAGCAGUAGGGAAUAUUAGGCAAAGGGCGCAAGCCUGACCCAGCAAGACCGCGUGGGUGAAGAAGGCCUUCGGAUCGUAAAGCCCUUUUGUUGGGGAAGAACAGCUGUAGGUUGAAACGCGGCUGUCGUGACGGUACCCAAUAAAAAAGCACCGGCUAACUACGUG
RNAcentral lists this ribosomal RNA (497 nucleotides) under uncultured bacterium. RNAcentral describes it as "partial 16S ribosomal RNA". It matches the Rfam family "Bacterial small subunit ribosomal RNA", at positions 28 to 507 of the family's 1533-position model. The record is from RNAcentral.